Molecule: ribosomal RNA, 578 nt
Filed under: uncultured bacterium
Lineage: Bacteria
Description: bacterial SSU rRNA
Rfam family: Bacterial small subunit ribosomal RNA
Source: RNAcentral
ACGGGUGAGUAAUACAUCGGAACGUAUCCUGGAGUGGGGGAUAGCCCGGCGAAAGCCGGAUUAAUACCGCAUACGCUCUGAGGAGGAAAGCGGGGGACCUUCGGGCCUCGCGCUCAAGGGGCGGCCGAUGGCGGAUUAGGUAGUUGGUGGGGUAAAGGCCUACCAAGCCGACGAUCCGUAGCUGGUCUGAGAGGACGACCAGCCACACUGGGACUGAGACACGGCCCAGACUCCUACGGGAGGCAGCAGUGGGGAAUUUUGGACAAUGGGGGCAACCCUGAUCCAGCAAUGCCGCGUGUGUGAAGAAGGCCUUCGGGUUGUAAAGCACUUUUGUCCGGAAAGAAAUCAUCGGGGCCAAUACCCCUGGUGGAUGACGGUACCGGAAGAAUAAGCACCGGCUAACUACGUGCCAGCAGCCGCGGUAAUACGUAGGGUGCGAGCGUUAAUCGGAAUUACUGGGCGUAAAGCGUGCGCAGGCGGUGCUGUAAGACCGAUGUGAAAUCCCCGGGCUUAACCUGGGAACUGCAUUGGUGACUGCAGCCCCUGGAGUAUGGCAGAGGGGGGUGAAAAUUCCACGU